Acanthosepion pharaonis is the source of this 104-nucleotide non-coding RNA. The record is from the annotation of a GenBank genome assembly. Lineage: Eukaryota; Metazoa; Mollusca; Cephalopoda; Sepiida; Sepiidae.
ACAUCACGUUAUAAAACCGGUUUCCGUACGAACACCGAAGUUAAGCAACGUCAUGCCUGAUCAGUAUCUAGAUAGGUUAUCGCCUAGGAAUACCAGGUGUUAUA